RNAcentral lists this ribosomal RNA (468 nucleotides) under uncultured bacterium. RNAcentral's name for it is "partial 16S ribosomal RNA". It matches the Rfam family "Bacterial small subunit ribosomal RNA", at positions 28 to 507 of the family's 1533-position model. The record is from RNAcentral.
GACGAACGCUGGCGGCGGGCUUAACACAUGCAAGUCGAACGGAAAGGCCCUGCUUUUGUGGGGUGCUCGAGUGGCGAACGGGUGAGUAACACGUGAGUAACCUGCCCUUGACUUUGGGAUAACUUCAGGAAACUGGGGCUAAUACCGGAUAGGAGCUCCUGCUGCAUGGUGGGGGUUGGAAAGUUUCGGCGGUUGGGGAUGGACUCGCGGCUUAUCAGCUGGUUGGUGGGGUAGUGGCUUACCAAGGCUUCCACGGGUAGCCGGCCUGAGAGGGUGACCGGGGACAAUGGGCCUGAGAUACGGCGCAGACUCGAACGGGAGGCAGCGGUCGGGAAUAUGACACAAUGAGGGGGAGCCUGAUGCGGCGGCGCCGCGAGCGUGAAGACGGCUUUCGGGUUAUAAACCGCUUUAGCCUGAGACGAAGCGUGAGUGACGGUAACGGGUAAAGAAGCACCGGCUAACUACGUG